Hibiscus syriacus is the source of this 1025-nucleotide RNA transcript. It is a transcript of the gene named tetratricopeptide repeat protein 33-like, with no coding region annotated. The transcript has 4 exons. The record is from RefSeq and is a predicted model, not a curated record. Lineage: Eukaryota; Viridiplantae; Streptophyta; Magnoliopsida; Malvales; Malvaceae.
GAAGUAGCGACGUUCGAUAAUUGAAGUGUGAAGCGAAAAGAAAGUAAUUGUUGAAGAAGCAGGAUGAAGCUAACAUGGAACAAGAAGAAGAACAACAAGAAGCGCUCUAUAGAAGCUAUAGCAAGCUACCCAAACCUUCCCUUUGAUGGACAACAACCCUCUGCUGAUAAUACGCAAUUCCAGAAUCAAGAACCCGCCGCUUCUCAGAAUCAGGAGAAACCCUCUGCUGAUGCGUUGGAUUCUGACUUUAAACUACUUGCCCAGUCCUUCCAAGACCAAGGCAACAAGCUUGCUGAGGACGGGAAAUAUCGUGAAGCACUUGGGAAGUGGGAGGCGGCUCUUAAUUUGAUGCCUGAAAACGCAGUUUUGUUUGAACAGAAGGCACAAGUUCUACUUGAACUUGGGGAUGCAUGGAGUGCAUUGAAGGCAGCGUCUCGCAUGGGUCACUCUUGGUAGAGCACAAUUACACUUUGGAGAGCCUGAUAAUGCCAUUGAGAGUUUUGACAGAGCAUUAGCUAUCAAGCCUGAUUCUGUGGAUGCACAAAAUGACAAGAAAACUGCAUUGCAUCUUAUAAAGAGAAGAAAGCAGCUUCAUUCAUCAGGCCUGAGUACUGAUAAAAACCGUUACUUGGUAGGUGAUAGCACCGACUCUUCCUGAUUUUAGAUGAAGUGCUUUUGUUACUCACUGGAGGGUUGAUGUUAAGAGUUACCGGAUCUAGCUCCAAGAUGGAGUGUUCAACUUACCAUGAGACAACAAUUGAAAAUUUUGGGAAUUGCUUAGAAGUCGGCUUUGACAAAAAAGCUUUUUAGGCAUAAUAUCCUACGGUAUUAUAGCUUCUGAAAGUUCAUGCAAAUGAGGGGUGUGCUGUUUCGAGCAUCUAGGAACCCUUUAAAAGUUUAAACCAUGAAACCGUGUACAGAUUCUCAAUAAAGCAUGUAUGAAAAACAUUAGGCAUUGUUAGAACAUCCCUCUGUCAGGUUAUCUUUACGAAUGACAAUGAAAUGAAAAAGGAUGGAAUAAGGAA